Molecule: ribosomal RNA, 559 nt
Filed under: Brustiarius solidus (hard-palate catfish)
Lineage: Eukaryota; Metazoa; Chordata; Actinopteri; Siluriformes; Ariidae
Description: partial 16S ribosomal RNA
Rfam family: Bacterial large subunit ribosomal RNA
Source: RNAcentral
CCUCCUGCAAACACCAACGUAUAGGAGGUCUCACCUGCCCAGUGACAAGUUAAACGGCCGCGGUAUUUUGACCGUGCGAAGGUAGCGCAAUCACUUGUCUUUUAAAUGAAGACCUGUAUGAAUGGUAGAACGAGGGCUUAACUGUCUCCCUUUUUAAGUCAGUGAAAUUGAUCUGCCCGUGCAGAAGCGGGCAUAAUAAUACAAGACGAGAAGACCCUUUGGAGCUUAAGACUCCAGAUCAAUUAUGUCAAGAACUAAACCAAGUUAAACCAAAUAACACCUGAUCCUAGUCUUUAGUUGGGGCGACCGCGGGAGAAAACAAAGCUCCCAUGAGGACUGGACUCCCUCCAGAACCAAGAAAGACAUCUCUAAGUCACAGAACUUCUGACCAUAAAGAUCCGGCCACCCGCCGACCAACGGACCAAGUUACCCUAGGGAUAACAGCGCAAUCCCCUUUCAGAGUCCAUAUCGACAAGGGGGUUUACGACCUCGAUGUUGGAUCAGGACAUCCUAAUGGUGCAGCCGCUAUUAAGGGUUCGUUUGUUCAACGAUUAAAGUC